CGGACGGGUGAGUAACGCGUGAGCAACCUUCCUUCACAGGGGAGUAAGAUACCGAAAGGUGUUCUAAUACCGCAUGAGACCACAGAGCCACAUGGCUUAGGGGUCAAAGGAGGAAUCCGGUGAAGGGUGGGCUCGCGUCCGAUUAGCUAGUUGGUGAGGUGACGGCCCACCAAGGCGACGAUCGGUAGCCGACCUGAGAGGGUGAUCGGCCACAUUGGAACUGAGAGACGGUCCAA
RNAcentral lists this ribosomal RNA (236 nucleotides) under uncultured bacterium. Its description in RNAcentral is "partial 16S ribosomal RNA". It matches the Rfam family "Bacterial small subunit ribosomal RNA", at positions 99 to 334 of the family's 1533-position model. The record is from RNAcentral.